RNAcentral lists this small nuclear RNA (161 nucleotides) under Chelydra serpentina (North American snapping turtle). RNAcentral describes it as "U1 spliceosomal RNA (ENSCSRG00000014764.1)". It matches the Rfam family "U1 spliceosomal RNA". Rfam says of the family: U1 is a small nuclear RNA (snRNA) component of the spliceosome (involved in pre-mRNA splicing). Its 5' end forms complementary base pairs with the 5' splice junction, thus defining the 5' donor site of an intron. There are significant differences in sequence and secondary structure between metazoan and yeast U1 snRNAs, the latter being much longer (568 nucleotides as compared to 164 nucleotides in human). Lineage: Eukaryota; Metazoa; Chordata; Testudines; Chelydridae. The record is from Rfam by way of RNAcentral.
UUGAUUUCUUUGUUGAGAUGCCAUGAUCACGAAGGUGGUUUUUCCAGGGUGAGGCUCAUCCAUUGCACUGCGGGUGUGCUGACCCCUGCGAUUUCUCCAAAUGCGGGAAACUCGACUGCAUAAUUUGUGGUAGUGGGGGACUGCGUUCGCGCUCUCCCCCG